UCCGGUUGAUCCUGCCGGACCCCACUGCUAUCGGGAUAGGACUAAGACAUGCUAGUCGAGCGCCUCCCAGCCACGACGGAGGCGCGGCGCACAGCUCAGUAGCACGUGGCUAACCUGCCCUUGGGACGGGAACAACCCCGGGAAACUGGGGCUAAUUCCCGAUAGGUGAAGAACUCUGGAAUGAGUCUCCGCCCAAAAGACGCUUACGUCAUGCUCGUAGGCGCCGCCCAAGGAUGGGGCCGCGGCCGAUCAGGUUGUUGGUGAGGUAACGGCUCACCAAGCCUAUAACCGGUGCGGGCCGUGGGAGCGGGAGCCCGGAGAUGGGCACUGAGACAAGGGCCCAGGCCCUACGGGGCGCAGCAGUCGCGAAAACUUUGCAAUAAGCGAAAGCUUGACAGGGCUAUCCCGAGUGCCGUCCGCUGAGGAUGGCUUUUACCCAGUCUAGAAAGCUGGGGGAAUAAGGAGAGGGCAAGUCUGGUGUCAGCCGCCGCGGUAAUACCAGCUCUCCGAGUGGUGUGGAUGUUUAUUGGGCCUAAAGCAUCCGUAGCUGGCUGUUCAAGUCCCUUGUUAAACCCAGCGAUUUAAUAGUUGGUUUGCGGGGGAUACUGUUCGGCUAGGGGGCGGGAGAGGCAGACGGUAUUUCCGGGGUAGGGGUGAAAUCCUAUAAUCCCGGGAAGACCACCAGUGGCGAAGGCUGUCUGCUAGAACGCGCCCGACGGUGAGGGAUGAAAGCUGGGGGAGCGAACCGGAUUAGAUACCCGGGUAGUCCCAGCUGUAAACUAUGCAGGCUAGGUGUUUGGGCGGCCACGUGCCGCUCUAGUGCCGCAGGGAAGCUGUUAAGCCUGCCGCCUGGGGAGUACGGCCGCAAGGCUGAAACUUAAAGGAACUGGCGGGGGAGCACCACAAGGGGUGAAGCUUGCGGUUUAAUUGGAGUCAACGCCGGAAAUCUCACCGGGAGCGACAGCAGGUUGAAAGCCAGAUUGAAGGUCUUGCUGGACGAGCUGAGAGGUGGUGCAUGGCC
This 1021-nucleotide ribosomal RNA is filed under the name uncultured archaeon. Its description in RNAcentral is "bacterial SSU rRNA". It matches the Rfam family "Archaeal small subunit ribosomal RNA", at positions 1 to 999 of the family's 1478-position model. The record is from RNAcentral.